This 465-nucleotide ribosomal RNA is filed under the name uncultured Klebsiella sp. RNAcentral describes it as "bacterial SSU rRNA". It matches the Rfam family "Bacterial small subunit ribosomal RNA", at positions 338 to 795 of the family's 1533-position model. Lineage: Bacteria; Pseudomonadati; Pseudomonadota; Gammaproteobacteria; Enterobacterales; Enterobacteriaceae. The record is from RNAcentral.
CCUACGGGAGGCUGCAGUGGGGAAUAUUGCACAAUGGGCGCAAGCCUGAUGCAGCCAUGCCGCGUGUGUGAAGAAGGCCUUCGGGUUGUAAAGCACUUUCAGCGGGGAGGAAGGCGGUGAGGUUAAUAACCUCAUCGAUUGACGUUACCCGCAGAAGAAGCACCGGCUAACUCCGUGCCAGCAGCCGCGGUAAUACGGAGGGUGCAAGCGUUAAUCGGAAUUACUGGGCGUAAAGCGCACGCAGGCGGUCUGUCAAGUCGGAUGUGAAAUCCUCGGGCUCAACCUGGGAACUGCAUUCGAAACUGGCAGGCUAGAGUCUUGUAGAGGGGGGUAGAAUUCCAGGUGUAGCGGUGAAAUGCGUAGAGAUCUGGAGGAAUACCGGUGGCGAAGGCGGCCCCCUGGACAAAGACUGACGCUCAGGUGCGAAAGCGUGGGGAGCAAACAGGAUUAGAUACCCGUGUAGUC